Molecule: ribosomal RNA, 397 nt
Filed under: uncultured bacterium
Lineage: Bacteria
Description: partial 16S ribosomal RNA
Rfam family: Bacterial small subunit ribosomal RNA
Source: RNAcentral
AUACGUGGGGGGCGAGCGUUGUCCGGAAUGAUUGGGCGUAAAGGGCGCGUAGGCGGCGCGGUAAGUCUGGAGUGAAAGUCCUGCUUUCAAGGUGGGAAUUGCUUUGGAUACUGCCGCGCUUGAGUGCAGGAGAGGUUAUCGGAAUUCCCGGUGUAGCGGUGAAAUGCGUAGAGAUCGGGAGGAACACCAGUGGCGAAGGCGGGUAACUGGACUGCAACUGACGCUGAGGCGCGAAAGUGUGGGGAGCAAACAGGAUUAGAUACCCUGGUAGUCCACACUGUAAACGAUGAAUGCUAGGUGUAAGAGGUAUCGACCCCUUUUGUGCCGGAGUCAACACAAUAAGCAUUCCGCCUGGGGAGUACGGCCGCAAGGUUGAAACUCAAAUGAAUUGACGGGG